ACUAUUUUGGCAGAUUAGUGCUAUAAAUUUAGAAUUUAUAUAAGGAAUGAAUUUCCAAAUAGUA
RNAcentral lists this transfer RNA (64 nucleotides) under Ephemera serica. RNAcentral's name for it is "tRNA-Leu". The record is from RNAcentral. Lineage: Eukaryota; Metazoa; Arthropoda; Insecta; Ephemeroptera; Ephemeridae.